UCGAGCGGGGAGAGGUGCUUCGCACACUGAUCCUAGCGGCGGACGGGUGAGUAAUGCUUAGGAAUCUGCCAUUUAGUGGGGGACAACAUUCCGAAAGGAAUGCUAAUACCGCAUACGUCCUACGGGAGAAAGCAGGGGAUCUUCGGACCUUGCGCUAAAUGAUGAGCCUAAGUCGGAUUAGCUAGUUGGUGGGGUAAAGGCCUACCAAGGCGACGAUCUGUAGCGGGUCUGAGAGGAUGAUCCGCCACACUGGGACUGAGACACGGCCCAGACUCCUACGGGAGGCAGCAGUGGGGAAUAUUGGACAAUGGGCGGAAGCCUGAUCCAGCCAUGCCGCGUGUGUGAAGAAGGCCUUUUGGUUGUAAAGCACUUUAAGCGAGGAGGAGGCUACCUGGAUUAAUACUCUGGGAUAGUGGACGUUACUCGCAGAAUAAGCACCGGC
RNAcentral lists this ribosomal RNA (442 nucleotides) under Gammaproteobacteria bacterium. Its description in RNAcentral is "bacterial SSU rRNA". It matches the Rfam family "Bacterial small subunit ribosomal RNA", at positions 62 to 497 of the family's 1533-position model. The record is from RNAcentral. Lineage: Bacteria; Pseudomonadati; Pseudomonadota; Gammaproteobacteria.